RNAcentral lists this ribosomal RNA (505 nucleotides) under uncultured bacterium. Its description in RNAcentral is "partial 16S ribosomal RNA". It matches the Rfam family "Bacterial small subunit ribosomal RNA", at positions 29 to 522 of the family's 1533-position model. The record is from RNAcentral.
AUUGAACGCUGGCGGCAGGCCUAACACAUGCAAGUCGAACGGUAACAGGAAACAGCUUGCUGUUUCGCUGACGAGUGGCGGACGGGUGAGUAAGGUCUGGGAAACUGCCUGAUGGAGGGGGACAACUACUGGAAACGGUAGCUAAUACCGCAUAAAGUCGCAAGACCAAAAAGGGGUACCUUCGGGCCUCUUGCCAUCAGAGAUACCCAGAUGGGAGUAGCUGGUAGGCGGGGUAACGGAUCACCUAGGCGAUGAUCCCUAACUGGUCUGAGAGGAUGACCAGCCACACGGGAACGGAGACACGGUCCAGACUCCUACGGGAGGCAGCAGUGGGGAAUAUUGCAGAAUGGGCGCAAGCCUGAUGCAGCCAUGCCGCGUGUGUGAAGAAGGCCUUCGGGUUGUAAAGCACUUUCAGCGGGGAGGAAGGAGAUGAGGUUAAUAACCUCAUCGAUUGACGUUACCCGCAGAAGAAGCACCGGCUAACUCCGUGCCAGCAGCCGCGUAA